CUUAGGCAAAUUACUGAUUUCAGUAACUUAGUAUUUCAGUAACUGGCGCUCACAGGCAAAUGCGUAAUGGAUUAACCCCAUAUUAUUUAAAUGCUUCCAAAAAGCUAUAGGAAAAUGGCCAUUAAAAACAAACUGACAAAUUUAGCCAACAAGCCACUAUUUGACAAUUCUGCAAGCUUAUUUUUAAAAUUCAGCUUAUCAAAACUGCCAUUCCAGAAGCCAGGGACCUGAGUUUCCAUAGAGGAUGGAGUAGAAUGGAGGGGCCUCUGUAUAAAUCUACCUCCUCGGGAACUGGGACAGUUCAGCAUUCACCAGAGUAACAUAUGAAGAAACAGGAGAUUCCUACAUGCUCCUGGGGAUCCAGAAGAGAGACCACUCACAUGACUGGAAGAUUUCCAGCUCAGGGAGUGCUGGUUUGCCACAAAACUCCAUCGUAACUGAAAGAGGAAAUCUUCUACAAAUUCCAGAGACCUUCUUGGAGGAUGAGAAGCAGCCACUAGUUGACAGGAGGGGAAGUGAGGCAUGUAGUCUUCAAGGGAGCAGACCACCGUGGGAGUUAUAAAAGACCAGCGACGCCUCUGGGUGGGUUCGAACCACCAACCUUUUAGUUAACAGCCAAACGCGCUAGCCGAUUGCGCCACAGAGACAUGGCUGAGCUCCUAAUUUCGUUCUAUAAGAGGGUAAGCUGUCACUAAACGCUAGCUAGCACCAUCCGCCUUUUGCAAAAUGACUGGGUAAUCUCCAAAGCCUCGGAAAGCCGGAGCAGUCAGAGCGACGAAUCUACUUGUUUGUCAAGUUUGAAACCUGUGCAUUGAGUGAUUCCGAAACGCCCCGCACCCCGCCUUGCCUGCCUCAGAAGCCGGCGCUUCCGGAGAUGCCGGGAUCGCGACUCCUGUUAGAGCGACUUGGGCCCCAGGGAAGCUGAAACGCCCAGGGCGCUCAAUUAGGACUUGUUGAAUUAAUAAUACAUUUGAGAGACAGAAUAUACAAUCGAACAAUGGCCGGACUAUACGUAAAAAUAUAACUCUGAUCCACAACCUGGGGCCACCUGCCCAAGAAAUCAACUUCCUUAUGUACGAAUAAACAACCGGGGAAGCCAGCCUGCUAUUAUAUAAGUCAGACUCACAGGGAGCCAGGCAGUUAUCUGUAGUAACAAACAAUAACAUCCAUAACAAUCGGCUCCAAAUGGCAAGAGCUUGGUUAGUAACUGACACUUUCCCUAAUUUAUGUUCCCACUUGCAACUUAGGACCAACCAGGGAAAGCCAAAUAUGCACCCCUAACCAAGCACACUGGAUGUCCCCCUUCUAGUUAGCCCACAGGCAGCUUCCCCACACCAGCAGUCUCCAAUCAGGGCACACCUGAAGCCUUCCCUUUCCUCAGCUAUAAAGCUGUCCCACUCCUCUACCUGCCUUCUAAGCUCUGUCAAAAUGCAAGUGCCGGUGGCUGAUGCCGGUGGCUGACGCCCUUGCGUCAGAAUAAAUAACCAUUGCUUUUUUCAUUUGAUGGGCCUUCGUUUUCACACUUUGUCAUCUUUAAGCUUUUAGCCCUUUGAAGGAUUCUGAGACUGGAAAAUAAAUGAAAGGAUUUUUCAAAGGGGGAAGUUCUU
Molecule: transfer RNA, 1607 nt
Filed under: Homo sapiens (human)
Lineage: Eukaryota; Metazoa; Chordata; Mammalia; Primates; Hominidae
Description: HSALNT0295632
Source: RNAcentral